RNAcentral lists this ribosomal RNA (301 nucleotides) under uncultured bacterium. RNAcentral describes it as "partial 16S ribosomal RNA". It matches the Rfam family "Bacterial small subunit ribosomal RNA", at positions 509 to 807 of the family's 1533-position model. The record is from RNAcentral.
CAGCCGCCACGGUAAUACAGAGGGUGCGAGCGUUAAUCGGAUUUACUGGGCGUAAAGCGUGCGUAGGCGGCUAAUUGAGUCGGAUGUGAAAUCCCUGAGCUUAACUUAGGAAUUGCAUUCGAUACUGGGAAGCUAGAGUAUGGGAGAGGAUGGUAGAAUUCCAGGUGUAGCGGUGAAAUGCGUAGAGAUCUGGAGGAAUACCGAUGGCGAAGGCAGCCAUCUGGCCUAAUACUGACGCUGAGGUACGAAAGCAUGGGGAGCAAACAGGAUUAGAUACCCGAGUAGUCCCUGUCUCUUAUAC